ACUUAAAUUGAAGAGUUUGAUCAUGGCUCAGAUUGAACGCUGGCGGCAGGCCUAACACAUGCAAGUCGAGCGGUAGCACAGAGAGCUUGCUCUCGGGUGACGAGCGGCGGACGGGUGAGUAAUGUCUGGGAAACUGCCUGAUGGAGGGGGAUAACUACUGGAAACGGUAGCUAAUACCGCAUAACGUCGCAAGACCAAAGUGGGGGACCUUCGGGCCUCAUGCCAUCAGAUGUGCCCAGAUGGGAUUAGCUAGUAGGUGGGGUAAUGGCUCACCUAGGCGACGAUCCCUAGCUGGUCUGAGAGGAUGACCAGCCACACUGGAACUGAGACACGGUCCAGACUCCUACGGGAGGCAGCAGUGGGGAAUAUUGCACAAUGGGCGCAAGCCUGAUGCAGCCAUGCCGCGUGUGUGAAGAAGGCCUUCGGGUUGUAAAGCACUUUCAGCGGGGAGGAAGGCGGUGAGGUUAAUAACCUCAUCGAUUGACGUUACCCGCAGAAGAAGCACCGGCUAACUCCGUGCCAGCAGCCGCGGUAAUACGGAGGGUGCAAGCGUUAAUCGGAAUUACUGGGCGUAAAGCGCACGCAGGCGGUCUGUCAAGUCGGAUGUGAAAUCCCCGGGCUCAACCUGGGAACUGCAUUCGAAACUGGCAGGCUAGAGUCUUGUAGAGGGGGGUAGAAUUCCAGGUGUAGCGGUGAAAUGCGUAGAGAUCUGGAGGAAUACCGGUGGCGAAGGCGGCCCCCUGGACAAAGACUGACGCUCAGGUGCGAAAGCGUGGGGAGCAAACAGGAUUAGAUACCCUGGUAGUCCACGCCGUAAACGAUGUCGAUUUGGAGGUUGUGCCCUUGAGGCGUGGCUUCCGGAGCUAACGCGUUAAAUCGACCGCCUGGGGAGUACGGCCGCAAGGUUAAAACUCAAAUGAAUUGACGGGGGCCCGCACAAGCGGUGGAGCAUGUGGUUUAAUUCGAUGCAACGCGAAGAACCUUACCUGGUCUUGACAUCCACAGAACUUUCCAGAGAUGGAUUGGUGCCUUCGGGAACUGUGAGACAGGUGCUGCAUGGCUGUCGUCAGCUCGUGUUGUGAAAUGUUGGGUUAAGUCCCGCAACGAGCGCAACCCUUAUCCUUUGUUGCCAGCGGUCCGGCCGGGAACUCAAAGGAGACUGCCAGUGAUAAACUGGAGGAAGGUGGGGAUGACGUCAAGUCAUCAUGGCCCUUACGACCAGGGCUACACACGUGCUACAAUGGCAUAUACAAAGAGAAGCGACCUCGCGAGAGCAAGCGGACCUCAUAAAGUAUGUCGUAGUCCGGAUUGGAGUCUGCAACUCGACUCCAUGAAGUCGGAAUCGCUAGUAAUCGUAGAUCAGAAUGCUACGGUGAAUACGUUCCCGGGCCUUGUACACACCGCCCGUCACACCAUGGGAGUGGGUUGCAAAAGAAGUAGGUAGCUUAACCUUCGGGAGGGCGCUUACCACUUUGUGAUUCAUGACUGGGGUGAAGUCGUAACAAGGUAACCGUAGGGGAACCUGCGGUUGGAUCACCUCCUUACCUUAAAGAA
This 1554-nucleotide ribosomal RNA is filed under the name Klebsiella pneumoniae. Its description in RNAcentral is "bacterial SSU rRNA". It matches the Rfam family "Bacterial small subunit ribosomal RNA". The record is from RNAcentral. Lineage: Bacteria; Pseudomonadati; Pseudomonadota; Gammaproteobacteria; Enterobacterales; Enterobacteriaceae.